AUUGAACGCUGGCGGCAGGCCUAACACAUGCAAGUCGAGCGGACGAAGGGAGCUUGCUCCUGGAUUCAGCGGCGGACAGGUGAGUAAUGCCUAGGAAUCUGCCUGGUAGCGGGGGGUAACGUCCGGAAACGGGCGCUAAUACCGCAUACGUCCUGAGGGAGAAAGUGGGGGAUCUUCGGACCUCACGCCAGCAGAGGAGCCUAGGUCGGAUUAGCUAGUUGGUGGGGUAAAGGCCUACCAAGGCGACGAUCCGUAACUGGUCUGAGAGGCUGAUCAGUCACACUGGGACUGAGACACGGUCCAGACUCCUACGGGAGGCAGCAGUGGGGAAUCUUGGACAAUGGGCGAAAGCCUGAUCCAGCCAUGCCGCGUGUGUGAAGAAGGUCUUCGGAUUGUAAAGCACUUUAAGUUGGGAGGAAGGGCAGUAAGUUAAUCCCUUGCUGUUUUGACGUUACCAACAGAAUAAGCACCGGCUAACUUCGUG
This 484-nucleotide ribosomal RNA is filed under the name uncultured bacterium. RNAcentral's name for it is "partial 16S ribosomal RNA". It matches the Rfam family "Bacterial small subunit ribosomal RNA", at positions 30 to 507 of the family's 1533-position model. The record is from RNAcentral.